This 133-nucleotide ribosomal RNA is filed under the name uncultured bacterium. RNAcentral's name for it is "partial 16S ribosomal RNA". The record is from RNAcentral.
GUAAUUAGCCGGUGCUUAUUCCUGGGGUACCUUCAUCAUUUAUUCCCCCAGAAAAGAAGUUUACAACCAAAAGGCCUUCACCCUUCACGCGGUGUCGCUCCGUCAGGCUUUCGCCCAUUGCGGAAGAUUCCUC